RNAcentral lists this transfer RNA (73 nucleotides) under Bos taurus (domestic cattle). It matches the Rfam family "tRNA". From Rfam's summary of the family: Transfer RNA (tRNA) molecules are approximately 80 nucleotides in length. Their secondary structure includes four short double-helical elements and three loops (D, anti-codon, and T loops). Lineage: Eukaryota; Metazoa; Chordata; Mammalia; Artiodactyla; Bovidae. The record is from Rfam by way of RNAcentral. RNAcentral also lists the same sequence under 4 other names.
UCCCUCGUGGCUCAUAUGGUAGAGAAUCUGUCUGCAAUGCAGGAGACCCCGGGUUCAAUCCCUGGGUUGGGAA